GGAUUCCCCUAGUAACUGCGAGUGAAGCGGGAAAAGCUCAAAUUUAAAAUCUGGCAGUCUUGCUACUGUCCGAGUUGUAAUUUAGAGAAGCGUUAUCCGUGCUGGACCGUGUACAAGUCUCCUGGAACGGAGCGUCAUAGAGGGUGAGAAUCCCGUCCAUGACACGGACUACCAGUGCAUUGUGAUGCGCUCUCAAAGAGUCGAGUUGUUUGGGAAUGCAGCUCUAAAUGGGUGGUAAAUUCCAUCUAAAGCUAAAUAUAGGCGAGAGACCGAUAGCGAACAAGUACCGUGAGGGAAAAAUGAAAAGAACUUUGGAAAGAGAGUUAAACAGUACGUGAAAUUGUUGAAAGGGAAACGCUUGAAGUCAGUCGCGUCGUUCAGGGAUCAGCCAUGCUCUGCUUGGUGUACUUCCUGUUCGACGGGUCAGCAUCAGUUUCGACCGUUGGAAAAAGUGCGCAGGAAUGUGGCAUCCUCGGAUGUGUUAUAGCCUGUGUUCGUAUACGGCGGUUGGGACUGAGGAAUCCGCACAGAUGCUUGGGAUGCUGGCAUAAUGGCUUUAAGCGGCCCGUCUUGAAACACGGACCAAGGAGUCUAACAUGCCCGCGAGUGUUUGGGUGGAAAACCCGAGCGCGUAAUGAAAGUGAAAAGUUGGGAUCUCUGUCGUGGAGAGCACCGACGCCCGGACCAGAUGUUUUCGGACGGUUCUGCGGUAGAGCGUGUAUGUUGGGACCCGAAAGAUGGUGAACUAUGCCUGAAUAGGGCGAAGCCAGAGGAAACUCUGGUGGAGGCUCGUAGCGAUUCUGACGUGCAAAUCGAUCGUCGAAUUUGGGUAUAGGGG
This 838-nucleotide ribosomal RNA is filed under the name Pterulicium fasciculare. RNAcentral describes it as "eukaryotic LSU rRNA". It matches the Rfam family "Eukaryotic large subunit ribosomal RNA", at positions 72 to 923 of the family's 3401-position model. Lineage: Eukaryota; Fungi; Basidiomycota; Agaricomycetes; Agaricales; Pterulaceae. The record is from RNAcentral.